This 468-nucleotide ribosomal RNA is filed under the name uncultured bacterium. RNAcentral's name for it is "partial 16S ribosomal RNA". It matches the Rfam family "Bacterial small subunit ribosomal RNA", at positions 28 to 507 of the family's 1533-position model. The record is from RNAcentral.
GACGAACGCUGGCGGCGUGCUUAACACAUGCAAGUCGAACGGAAAGGCCCUGCUUUUGUGGGGUGCUCGAGUGGCGAACGGGUGAGUAACACGUGAGUAACCUGCCCUUGACUUUGGGAUAACUUCAGGAAACUGGGGCUAAUACCGGAUAGGAGCUCCUGCUGCAUGGUGGGGGUUGGAAAGUUUCGGCGGUUGGGGAUGGACUCGCGGCUUAUCAGCUUGUUGGUGGGGUAGUGGCUUACCAAGGCUUUGACGGGUAGCCGGCCUGAGAGGGUGACCGGCCACAUUGGGACUGCGAUACGGCCCAGACUCCUACGGGAGGCAGCAGUGGGGAAUAUUGCACAAUGGGCGGAAGCCUGAUGCAGCAACGCCGCGUGCGGGAUGACGGCCUUCGGGUUGUAAACCGCUUUCGCCUGUGACGAGGCGUGAGUGACGGUAAUGGGUAAAGAAGCACCGGCUAACUACGUG